AGCUCUUAGCAUGUCCUGCUUGAUAAGUGUGGCUUUGUGUACCCCAGGCCUCAGACCCUACCAGACAGUGUAUGCUAACAAUGCUAUUUGUGAAUGCCUGUUUUUGCUGUCCUGAGCUCCAGGCCACUCUGCAUUAAUUUGUCCUCUGAGGAUGUGAGGGAUAGAGACUGAGUAUCUACGGUCAGCUAUAUGGGCUCUCCACACCUACAGAACUGAUCCCCGAUAAAAUCCCUGGACACCAAGGCUUGGGAUUGCUAAGUGGACUUGAAGAGACUUUGCCCUAGAGAUGACGAGAAGAAGUGGACCCCAGAUGCUGAUGUUUGGGUACAAGGAUGCACACUGAGACCUGAUGGAAGUAAAGCACUGUACUUCUCCAGUCUGCACACCAAAAGAUUAUCUUUUUUUAAACCUAA
Molecule: long non-coding RNA, 413 nt
Filed under: Homo sapiens (human)
Lineage: Eukaryota; Metazoa; Chordata; Mammalia; Primates; Hominidae
Description: HSALNT0193594
Source: RNAcentral